RNAcentral lists this ribosomal RNA (1402 nucleotides) under uncultured bacterium. RNAcentral's name for it is "bacterial SSU rRNA". It matches the Rfam family "Bacterial small subunit ribosomal RNA". The record is from RNAcentral.
AGAGUUUGAUCCUGGCUCAGAUUGAACGCUGGCGGCAGGCCUAACACAUGCAAGUCGAACGGUAACAGGAAGAAGCUUGCUUCUUUGCUGACGAGUGGCGGACGGGUGAGUAAUGUCUGGGAAACUGCCUGAUGGAGGGGGAUAACUACUGGAAACGGUAGCUAAUACCGCAUAACGUCGCAAGACCAAAGAGGGGGGCCUUCGGGCCUCUUGCCAUCGGAUGUGCCCAGAUGGGAUUAGCUUGUUGGUGGGGUAACGGCUCACCAAGGCGACGAUCCCUAGCUGGUCUGAGAGGAUGACCAGCCACACUGGAACUGAGACACGGUCCAGACUCCUACGGGAGGCAGCAGUGGGGAAUAUUGCACAAUGGGCGCAAGCCUGAUGCAGCCAUGCCGCGUGUAUGAAGAAGGCCUUCGGGUUGUAAAGUACUUUCAGCGGGGAGGAAGGGAGUAAAGUUAAUACCUUUGCUCAUUGACGUUACCCGCAGAAGAAGCACCGGCUAACUCCGUGCCAGCAGCCGCGGUAAUACGGAGGGUGCAAGCGUUAAUCGGAAUUACUGGGCGUAAAGCGCACGCAGGCGGUUUGUUAAGUCAGAUGUGAAAUCCCCGGGCUCAACCUGGGAACUGCAUCUGAUACUGGCAAGCUUGAGUCUCGUAGAGGGGGGUAGAAUUUCAGGUGUAGCGGUGAAAUGCGUAGAGAUCUGGGGGAAUACCGGGGGGAAAGGGGGCGCCCUGGGACGAAGACUGACGCUCAGGUGCGAAAGCGUGGGGAGCAAACAGGAUUUGAUACCCUGGUAGUCCACGCCGUAAACGAUGUCGACUUGGAGGUUGUGCCCUUGAGGCGUGGCUUCCGGAGCUAACGCGUUAAGUCGACCGCCUGGGGAGUACGGCCGCAAGGUUAAAACUCAAAUGAAUUGACGGGGGCCCGCACAAGCGGUGGAGCAUGUGGUUUAAUUCUAUGCAACGCGAAGAACCUUACCUGGUCUUGACAUCCACAGAACUUUCCAGAGAUGGAUUGGUGCCUUCGGGAACUGUGAGACAGGUGCUGCAUGGCUGUCGUCAGCUCGUGUUGUGAAAUGUUGGGUUAAGUCCCGCAACGAGCGCAACCCUUAUCCUUUGUUGCCAGCGGUCCGGCCGGGAACUCAAAGGAGACUGCCAGUGAUAAACUGGAGGAAGGUGGGGAUGACGUCAAGUCAUCAUGGCCCUUACGACCAGGGCUACACACGUGCUACAAUGGCGCAUACAAAGAGAAGCGACCUCGCGAGAGCAAGCGGACCUCAUAAAGUGCGUCGUAGUCCGGAUUGGAGUCUGCAACUCGACUCCAUGAAGUCGGAAUCGCUAGUAAUCGUGGAUCAGAAUGCCACGGUGAAUACGUUCCCGGGCCUUGCACACACCGCCCGUCA